CCUACGGGAGGCAGCAGUGAGGAAUAUUGGACAAUGGGCGGGAGCCUGAUCCAGCCAUGCCGCGUGCAGGAAGACUGCCCUAUGGGUUGUAAACUGCUUUUAUACAGGAAGAAUAAGCCUUACGUGUAAGGUGAUGACGGUACUGUAAGAAUAAGGACCGGCUAACUCCGUGCCAGCAGCCGCGGUAAUACGGAGGGUCCGAGCGUUAUCCGGAAUUAUUGGGUUUAAAGGGUCCGUAGGCGGAUGAUUAAGUCAGGGGUGAAAGUUUGCAGCUCAACUGUAAAAUUGCCUUUGAUACUGGUUAUCUUGAGUUGUAUUGAAGUAGGCGGAAUAUGUAGUGUAGCGGUGAAAUGCAUAGAUAUUACAUAGAACACCAAUUGCGAAGGCAGCUUACUAAGUACUAACUGACGCUGAUGGACGAAAGCGUGGGUAGCGAACAGGAUUAGAUACCCUGGUAGUCCACGCCGUAAACGAUGGAUACUAGCUGUUCGGGACCUUGAGUUCUGAGCGGCUAAGCGAAAGUGAUAAGUAUCCCACCUGGGGAGUACGUUCGCAAGAAUGAAACUCAAAGGAAUUGACGGA
Molecule: ribosomal RNA, 582 nt
Filed under: uncultured bacterium
Lineage: Bacteria
Description: bacterial SSU rRNA
Rfam family: Bacterial small subunit ribosomal RNA
Source: RNAcentral